GUGGGGGAUAUUGCACAAUGGGGGGAACCCUGAUGCAGCGACGCCGCGUGGGUGAAGAAGCGCCUCGGCGCGUAAAGCCCUGUCAGCAGGGAAGAAAAUGACGGUACCUGAAGAAGAAGCCCCGGCUAACUACGUGCCAGCAGCCGCGGUAAUACGUAGGGGGCAAGCGUUAUCCGGAUUUACUGGGUGUAAAGGGGGCGCAGACGGCGAUGCAAGCCAGGAGUGAAAGCCCGGGGCCCAACCCCGGGACUGCUCUUGGAACUGCGUGGCUGGAGUGCAGGAGGGGCAGGCGGAAUUCCUGGUGUAGCGGUGAAAUGCGUAGAUAUCAGGAGGAACACCGGUGGCGAAGGCGGCCUGCUGGACUGCAACUGACGUUGAGGCCCGAAAGCGUGGGGAGCAAACAGG
RNAcentral lists this ribosomal RNA (405 nucleotides) under bacterium. Its description in RNAcentral is "bacterial SSU rRNA". It matches the Rfam family "Bacterial small subunit ribosomal RNA", at positions 354 to 776 of the family's 1533-position model. RNAcentral also lists the same sequence under 1 other name. The record is from RNAcentral.